This 512-nucleotide ribosomal RNA is filed under the name uncultured bacterium. RNAcentral's name for it is "partial 16S ribosomal RNA". It matches the Rfam family "Bacterial small subunit ribosomal RNA", at positions 28 to 507 of the family's 1533-position model. The record is from RNAcentral.
GAUGAACGCUGGCGGCGUGCCUAAUACAUGCAAGUCGAACGAAACUUCUUUAUCACCGAGUGCUUGCACUCACCGAUAAAGAGUUGAGUGGCGAACGGGUGAGUAACACGUGGGCAACCUGCCCAAAAGAGGGGGAUAACACUUGGAAACAGGUGCUAAUACCGCAUAACCAUAGUUACCGCAUGGUAACUAUGUAAAAGGUGGCUAUACUACCGCUUUUGGAUGGGCCCGCGGCGCAUUAGCUAGUUGGUAGGGUAAAGGCUUACCAAGGCAAUGAUGCGUAGCCGAAGUGAGAGGGUGAUCGGCGACAUGGGGACGUAGACACGGCCCAAACUCCUACGGGAGGCAGCAGUAGGGAAUCUUCCACAGUGGGCGAAAGCCUGAUGGAGCAACGCCGCGUGGGUGAAGAAGGUCUUCGGAUCGUAAAACCCUGUUGUUAGAGAAGAAAGUGCGUGAGAGUAACUGUUCACGUUUCGACGGUAUCUAACCAGAAAGCCACUGCUAACUACGUG